GAUGAACGCUAGCUACAGGCUUAACACAUGCAAGUCGAGCGAUGAAGCUUCUUCGGAAGUGGAUUAGCGGCGGACGGGUGAGUAACACGUGGGUAACCUGCCUCAUAGAGGGGAAUAGCCUUCCGAAAGGAAGAUUAAUACCGCAUAAGAUUGUAAUAUCGCAUGAUAUAGCAAUUAAAGGAGCAAUCCGCUAUGAGAUGGACCCGCGUCGCAUUAGCUAGUUGGUGAGGUAACGGCUCACCAAGGCGACGAUGCGUAGCCGACCUGAGAGGGUGAUCGGCCACAUUGGGACUGAGACACGGCCCAGACUCCUACGGGAGGCAGCAGUGGGGAAUAUUGCACAAUGGGGGAAACCCUGAUGCAGCAACGCCGCGUGAGUGAUGACGGUCUUCGGAUUGUAAAGCUCUGUCUUUAGGGACGAUAAUGACGGUACCUAAGGAGGAAGCCACGGCUAACUACGUG
Molecule: ribosomal RNA, 462 nt
Filed under: uncultured organism
Description: bacterial SSU rRNA
Rfam family: Bacterial small subunit ribosomal RNA
Source: RNAcentral